CCCGAAAGUGGUCCUGAUGGGAUUGUACUGAAACCCACUGGCUUGACUGCACGAACUGAAGUCCGCAUAGGCCGAUGCCAAGCUCGUCGUGUCCAUCCCGGCCAUACAUGACUCGUAGGCAGAGGAAUUUAGUUCCAAGUAGCAUGUGAUUCCAGGCCGCAGUUUGCUCCUACGGUCGGGCUUCAGCCGGGCCACUAAGGACAGUAUCUUCACCUCAGCAGCUCGUUGCAGCUCUUUGUGUGCAGCAGCCAUGUCUCCUGGAAGCAUCUCCCUCUGCCUUUGCUGUAACCAGUAAGCUGAGCGUUACAUCAGGUCAGUCCCAGUGAGCCACUUCUUAGCAGUGUCAGCAAGCUUUGACUCCCUCUCCUCCAUAACUUAGGAAUCCCAC
Perca fluviatilis (European perch) is the source of this 388-nucleotide long non-coding RNA. RefSeq lists it as uncharacterized. NCBI's taxonomy places the organism in Eukaryota, Metazoa, Chordata, Actinopteri, Perciformes, Percidae. The record is from RefSeq and is a predicted model, not a curated record. The transcript is spliced from 3 exons.